This 273-nucleotide ribosomal RNA is filed under the name uncultured bacterium. RNAcentral describes it as "partial 16S ribosomal RNA". It matches the Rfam family "Bacterial small subunit ribosomal RNA", at positions 524 to 796 of the family's 1533-position model. The record is from RNAcentral.
UACAGAGGGCUCGAGCGUUAAUCGGAAUCACUGGGCUUAAAGGGUGCGUAGGCGGACCUGUAAGUAUUUUGUGAAAUCCCACGGCUCAACCGUGGAAUUGCUUGAUAGACUGCAGGUCUUGUGGUUGGUAGGGGCUGUCGGAACUCUAGGUGUAGCGGUGAAAUGCGUAGAUAUCUAGAGGAACACCAAAGGUGAAGACAGGCAGCUGGGCCAGUCCUGACGCUGAGGCACGAAAGCGUGGGUAGCGAACGGGAUUAGAAACCCCGGUAGUCC